UAACAACCUGGAAACAGAUGCUAAUACCGGAUAACAACAGAUGAUGCCUAUCAACUGUUUAAAAGAUGGUUCUGCUAUCACUCUUGGAUGGACCUGCGGUGCAUUAGCUAGUUUGUAGGGUAACGGCCUACCAAGGCGAUGAUGCAUAGCCGAGUUGAGAGACUGAUCGGCCACAUUGGGACUGAGACACGGCCCAAACUCCUACGGGAGGCAGCAGUC
This 219-nucleotide ribosomal RNA is filed under the name uncultured Lactobacillus sp. Its description in RNAcentral is "partial 16S ribosomal RNA". It matches the Rfam family "Bacterial small subunit ribosomal RNA", at positions 144 to 355 of the family's 1533-position model. The record is from RNAcentral. Lineage: Bacteria; Bacillati; Bacillota; Bacilli; Lactobacillales; Lactobacillaceae.